CGCGGGGGACGGAGGGCAUGUCCUUCGGAGAGAAGGUGCAGGCGGGCCCGGGCCGAAGGUGGGGGGGGUGUUGCGGGUGGCUGGGUGGCUUGGUCGCUGGGGGCGGUGCCAGGGAAUUGCUAGGGGCUGGGGCGGGCCUGGGGCGGCUGGGGCGGGGCCUGGGGCGGGGCGAGGAGGGCCCGCAGGCAGGCCCGGCCCCCGGCCCCCGGCCCCCAACCACCCCCCCUCGGCCCCACGGAGGGCCUCGCAGGCCUGCGAGGACGGGAUCCAGCCCCCACCCGUCUCCCCCCAGCGACCGCACCGCCCCCCCGCGCCCCAGCCCCGAGGUUCCGGCUGUCGCCCCGUCCCCUCCCUGGGCCGCUUCGGGCCCCCUCGGCCCCCUCGGCCCCCUGGGACGCGCGGCCGGCUAGGAUGCGGGUGGGCGUCGUUGAAGGGCUGGGAGGAAGAGGAGGUGUGUGGUGUAUGUAGUGGCGUCCUGCCCGUGCAGCGGGCGCCCUCGGUGCCCCGCGGCGCCCUGCGGUGGUCCCGGCGGGGCGGGGGCCAUGGCAGGGGUGGUCCGGAGGGCGCCGCCGCCGCCGCCGCGUUGGGCGAGGGGGGUGUUGGCGGCAAAGGGACGGACAGGAAGGCCGAAGAAAAAAAGCCUACAGCACCCGGUAUUCCCAGGCGGUCUCCCAUCCAAGUACUAACCAGGCCCGACCCUGCUUAGCUUCCGAGAUCAGACGAGAUCGGGCGCGUUCAGGGUGGUAUGGCCGUAGACGUCCGCGGCUGCCGCUGGGCGCCCCAAGAGCCUGCUCUGCGCCUCUCCAGGCCAGGCGCCCGCCGCUCCUCAGCCCUCCUCCGCCCGCCCUGUGCGGCCCGCCUGAACGCCUGCCUGCCUGCCUGCCUGCAUGCUCGCCUGCCGGCCCGACUGAUGGACUGACCGCCUCCCGCGCCGCGCCCGGGGUGGCGGAGGGCGCCUGCCCGGGCCGGGGGGUGGGGGCCAAGACGCGUCCCGCACCCCGGAGCCGAGUCUGUCGCGGGAGCCCGGGCGCGCUCCCGUCCCCGGCCUGUCGGGCUCGUCGCCGCCGCUCGGCUCCCCGGAUGGCACGCCGCCCCGCAUCGGGCCGCUCGCUGGGGGCUGGGGGCUGCGGGGGGGUGGGGGGGUGUGCCGCGGGCCGGGGCCGGCGCCGGCCGGCCCCUGGCCUCUCCUGUCCUUCAGCCCGCCUGGCUCAAAGCCAAGCCGGGGCCGCCCGCGCCGCCGGACCCCAUCGUCGCACAGGCAGGGACACAGACACAGGUGCCCACGACACACACACACACAGACAGACGGAAGGACACAGGCACUCGGAGCUGGGC
This 1335-nucleotide long non-coding RNA is filed under the name Canis lupus familiaris (dog). Its description in RNAcentral is "lncRNA (ENSCAFG00040000045.1)". The record is from RNAcentral. Lineage: Eukaryota; Metazoa; Chordata; Mammalia; Carnivora; Canidae.